Molecule: long non-coding RNA, 1170 nt
Filed under: Bemisia tabaci
Lineage: Eukaryota; Metazoa; Arthropoda; Insecta; Hemiptera; Aleyrodidae
Description: lncRNA ENSSSA3NGG011845
Source: RNAcentral
CUAAUUGAUCAAGGGUUAAAACCGCCUUAACUAAUCCGAGCGAUCAACUAAUGAUCAAGCUAUAUUAGAUGCUUGUAAUUCAUGAAUUAAAAUAUGAACGGAAACUUUGAAGUCUUGAAAAACGCCUAUUUUCAAUAUUUUGCCAUCAAAUAGCUGUAAGCAAUGGACAAAGGAGAGCUUGAUAUUAACAAAGAAUCAAAUGGUAUUUUUGGACAGAAAUGGAUGAAGAAGAGUUGGCUAAUCCAUUUUUUGGCUACUUUGAGAGGUAUAUAAACGAAGGAGGCAAAAAGAGGGGUUGCUACGGCAACAAGGCUGUUUAGUUCACGGAGGAAGACGCUGGUAGCAGGGCCGAAGUUGGACAUCUGGAGUUGCAUCAGAUCAGUGCGAUCAGUGUAAGAUGCCGCUGAUUAAAAAGGAGAAGGAAAUCCCGCUUGAGCUGAUUAACAAACGGAUUUUUGAAAUCAAGAAGAAGAUACAACUAUCAGAGGGGCAGAGAAAAGCUCAUUAUGAAGAAUGUGAUGCUGAAAAGAAAAACAACGUGGAGAAGAUUCGGGAACUAAAAAAGGUUCUAAAGGAAAUGUAUGUGAAAGAGGGCACACCACUGACAGUAGAUGAAGAAAUUCUGAAGAAAAGUAGUAAAUACCCAAAAGAAACACUGUCAUUUCGCAACAAGAAAAAUGAGGAAGCUAUAGAGCGACUGGAUUUAAAAACAAUUGAUCUUCAGAAAAAAUUAGACUUAGUUCGCCAUCAUGCCAAAAAAAGGCAACAAUAUAUGCAAAAACUCGCAGACGAUUAUCAGGAACAACUUUCAGCAAAAAUAAACAAUACAGCCUCAAAGAGAAUGGUUCCAAAUGCAAAGGUACCAGCUUAAUCAUCCCAUUCAUCAGAAUUACAUUUUACUUACUACUGAAUCUUUUCUUUCAUAAAAAAGACAGAUCUGCUUCAAUGUCGUAGGUACACUCAUCAAUAUUAUUAAUUUAUGAAUUGCUUUGUGGCUUCCUAAAUUCAAAUAAUAAUUUCAAAUUGCUUGCCAAAAAACUUUCUCAAGCAUAUGCAGAAAUCUCAGAAAUUACCAUAGAGUGCCCAUGCGGUCAGGGUGCAUCGAGAAGAAAUCCGCAUCAUGCUGUUGCUGUUUCAUGUGUGAGAGAUAGGAGGAGUGCUUUCUGCUGA